RNAcentral lists this non-coding RNA (29 nucleotides) under Homo sapiens (human). Lineage: Eukaryota; Metazoa; Chordata; Mammalia; Primates; Hominidae. The record is from RNAcentral.
GAUGAUGAGGAUAGGCCGGGGCUCGUUGC